This 220-nucleotide unclassified non-coding RNA is filed under the name uncultured Entoloma. RNAcentral describes it as "sequence contains ITS2". Lineage: Eukaryota; Fungi; Basidiomycota; Agaricomycetes; Agaricales; Entolomataceae. The record is from RNAcentral.
AAUUCUCAACCUUACCAGCUUUUUGUUUGAAGCUCGGUCAGGCUUGGAUCCUGGGAGUGUGCUGGUUCUAUAAGAGUCAGCUCUCCUUAAAUGUAUUAGCAAGAUUAAUCGCUGAAUCACAUUUGAUAUGAUAAUUAUCUAUAUCAUUGAUGAAACGGUGUUUUCCUUCAAGGAAGAAAUCUCGCUUACAACUGUCUUCUCGAAGACAAUUCUUUGAAUC